Molecule: long non-coding RNA, 1310 nt
Organism: Lontra canadensis (Northern American river otter)
Lineage: Eukaryota; Metazoa; Chordata; Mammalia; Carnivora; Mustelidae
Exons: 3
Source: RefSeq, a predicted model, not a curated record
CAUUUGCUGUUUAAAAUUUUUAUUAAAGUACUCUAAAUUUGGUGGGUCUAAGUCCGGAGUAGGUUAUGCAGUGUACCAUCUAGACAUCUCUUUUUGGGGAGGGAUGGGGAAGUUUCAAGGUUCAAAUGUUUUUAACCUAUCUAUAUUUGAGACCUUGCCAUUUUGCUUUAAUGAUGUAAAGAAGAAAAGACUGCACGAUGUGUAAAUAGAUUAGAAAAUAGGCAUAAGGAGAAGCAGUAAAUACUAUUUUAUGCUCUUAAUUGUAUGCUAAAAGCUUCUAAAGCACAAGUGCAUAUUUUUAUACAGCUCUUUUGAAAACUUUCUGUGAUCUACAUAAAGUCAGACUUGAGAUUUUCCUUUCUCUUUUACCAAACAACCCUUCUCUAUGUAUUGUAAAUAUCAGAAACUCCGUAAACAAAAUAUCUUCAUUUUCCUUUUCAAAUCCUCUGUACUCCAUGCUGCAUUUUAAUGAGGUAUAAACAGAGGCUGAAUUAGUUGAGUAGUAGUUAUUUUUUUCAAAUGAAAAUUGGAAUGCAUAACACUUGAAACCAGUACAUGGAAAGAAAGAAAAUGACUUAUCACUACAUAAUGUGCCAAUGUUUUUUUCUAUGUUUUGUACCAAAAAAUGAAAUCAUAUAUGACAAUUCCACGCAGAGAAAUGUAUCUAAAUUAUUUUUGUUAGAAAAGCGAAUGUGCUUGGUCAGGACAGCAGCUAGCUUUGUGUUGUAAUGCUGCACUAUGUAAAUGUGAUGAAAGUGUUUUUGUGAAGUACUUGUAACUAAAUUCCUACAGCCAUUUUUCAUUCCCAACAGCUGUUUUUAUUUUAUCUCUUUGGCCUAAACUUUUCAUUAUUUCAAAAUUUCGCUUUAGUGUCCUUUAUUUCAUGAGUCACACACUUUAUUUUCAGACACAUUAAAUUCAGGAUGUCAAAAUCCCAUUUUAAGGAGCUAAAUAACUUGCCUAGGCUUCAGAAACUUGCUCGAGACAAGGACAGUCUUUACCUCGCCAUGUCGCUCUCAGUUCCACUUGUACCAAGAGGGAGAAAAUAUCUGUUCUAAGGCUGGUGGGGUGAUAAAGAGGAUUAAGUUGGAGUGGUCCCUGCAAGUAACUACACAAACGAAGCCUUUCUCAAGUCUUUCGUAUUGGAGGAAUGGGUCUAGGUUCAGAAGAAGCAGCUCAAACCCAGCACUCACCCCUUGAGCAGCAGCACAAAGCACAGGCUCCUAGAGGUCUCCAGCUGUAAAUUCAAGAUGUGCUACAUCCUACCUGUUAUUCAGUGGAUUUCUCAUUUUUAUCCCAAAAUAUCAUCU